RNAcentral lists this ribosomal RNA (471 nucleotides) under uncultured bacterium. RNAcentral's name for it is "bacterial SSU rRNA". It matches the Rfam family "Bacterial small subunit ribosomal RNA", at positions 335 to 802 of the family's 1533-position model. The record is from RNAcentral.
ACUCCUACGGGAGGCAGCAGUGGGGAAUAUUGCACAAUGGGGGAAACCCUGAUGCAGCCAUGCCGCGUGUGUGAAGAAGGCCUUCGGUUGUAAAGCACUUUCAGUAGGGAGGAAGGUAGUGUAGUUAACACCUGCAUUAUUUGACGUUACCUACAGAAGAAGCACCGGCUAACUCCGUGCCAGCAGCCGCGGUAAUACGGAGGGUGCGAGCGUUAAUCGGAAUUACUGGGCGUAAAGCGCAUGCAGGCGGCCUGUUAAGUCAGAUGUGAAAGCCCGGGGCUUAACCUCGGAAUUGCAUUUGAAACUGGCAGGCUAGAGUCUUGUAGAGGGGGUAGAAUUUCAGGUGUAGCGGUGAAAUGCGUAGAGAUCUGAAGGAAUACCAGUGGCGAAGGCGGCCCCCUGGACAAAGACUGACGCUCAGAUGCGAAAGCGUGGGGAGCAAACAGGAUUAGAUACCCUGGUAGACUGUCA